CGAGCAGCCACAGGGGCCUCUCGAGCUACUGAGUAAGCUUGAGCAGACACCUGCUUGACAACUGGCGGAACACGACUAUCCAGACUAGUGACAGAUUCAUCAACCUUGCGAUCUACAAACUUGAGAACCUCAUUGGGAACAUCGUGGAACUUGUAAUAGACAGGUCCAACCACGCUCUUGACGGUACCCUCAACGGUCUCAACCCCAGGCUUCAAUGGACCAGCCUUUUCCUUGGCAUAAAGGUAGAGGUUUGUGAAGGUCACAACGGCAUGAAUAACAGCCACUUGCACAAAUUCCAAAUAUUUUAGCCUCUCUUCCUCCUCAUUUUCCAUCUGUUGUUGCAUAUUCACGUUUCCUUCGCCUUCGGCCAUGAUUGCGGAAAUGGAAGAUCAAAAAUCAA
This 400-nucleotide unclassified non-coding RNA is filed under the name Hevea brasiliensis (rubber tree). Lineage: Eukaryota; Viridiplantae; Streptophyta; Magnoliopsida; Malpighiales; Euphorbiaceae. The record is from RNAcentral.